AGCUGGUGUCUACAGGUGCUGAACUGAAAGGAAAGCAGAUAGUAGUAGAACGUCUUAACUAUGUUGUUUCUGGUCUUUAUAUUAGGUUUCCUCCAUCUGCCGGGGAAUAAGGGUGCCUCUAACACCAACAGUGUCUUCCAAACGCCUCCUUUCAUCAUUAAGAGAAGUGGUGAAUCGGUUGCCAGUGAGAUCAACUGUUCACACAGCGUAACAAAUUAUAAUCAAAUUCUCUGGUACAAACAGGACGAACGGAAAGCUCUGAAGUUCCUGGGAUAUCUGAAUCUGGACAGCCAAUACCCCGAGGACGACGUGAAAGGAAAAAUCAGCUUUGACGGAGAUGGCCGUAAACAUUCCCGCCUCAGCGUUUCUGAUUUGUCAUUAAAUGACAACGGUGUGUAUUUCUGCGCUGCCAGUCAGCACAGUGCUGCAGAUUCCCCUCAAGUCAAUACAAAAACUCUCCUUAGUCUGCAGACAGAUAACAUGUUGAGUCUCUUGAACACCUGCAGCCAGGCUCCAUCUAAACAGAGCCUUUGA
This is a non-coding RNA of Perca fluviatilis (European perch), 534 nucleotides long. NCBI's taxonomy places the organism in Eukaryota, Metazoa, Chordata, Actinopteri, Perciformes, Percidae. The record is from the annotation of a RefSeq genome assembly.